RNAcentral lists this ribosomal RNA (483 nucleotides) under uncultured bacterium. RNAcentral describes it as "SSU rRNA". It matches the Rfam family "Bacterial small subunit ribosomal RNA", at positions 26 to 523 of the family's 1533-position model. The record is from RNAcentral.
AGGACGAACGCUGGCGGCGUGCUUAACACAUGCAAGUCGAGCGGUAAGGCCCUUUCGGGGGUACACGAGCGGCGAACGGGUGAGUAACACGUGGGUGACCUGCCCUUAGCUCUGGGAUAAGCCUGGGAAACUGGGUCUAAUACCGGAUAUGACCUCGCGAUGCAUGUCGUGGGGUGGAAAGCCUUGUGCGGCUAGGGGAUGGGCCCGCGGCCUAUCAGCUUGUUGGUGGGGUGAUGGCCUACCAAGGCGACGACGGGUAGCCGGCCUGAGAGGGCGACCGGCCACACUGGGACUGAGACACGGCCCAGACUCCUACGGGAGGCAGCAGUGGGGAAUCUUGCGCAAUGGGCGAAAGCCUGACGCAGCGACGCCGCGUGAGGGAUGACGGCCUUCGGGUUGUAAACCUCUUUCAGCCUGACGAAGCGAAAGUGACGGUAGGGCGAGAAGAAGCACCGGCCAACUACGCGCCAGCAGCCGCGGUAA